Molecule: long non-coding RNA, 2708 nt
Organism: Strigops habroptila (Kakapo)
Lineage: Eukaryota; Metazoa; Chordata; Aves; Psittaciformes; Psittacidae
Exons: 3
Source: RefSeq, a predicted model, not a curated record
UGUUUCUGGGAUUUCUCCUCCGCACAAAUUCAAUGCCCAUAUUGCAGAGUGGAGCAGGCUGCAUUGCUUUGUUGCUCCCUGUGUGUUAUUUGACUUGGAUUCAUUUACAUGGCAACUCACAGGGGUAAAUUUUAUGUCAUCUUUAUGUCCCAGAUUAAAAGGCAGAAGUAAUCCUUUAUUUGAGCAGCAUGUCCCUUCCAACCUUCCGGCCAUACAGGUGAAAACAGAGGGGAAAAAACCCAGACCCUCCCACCCCCAUAAUUCCAGUUUCAUCAUUUUCUAUGCUAAAUUUGAACUGUGUAGUUAUUAAUUCCACCCUCCCCUUGUAAGCAGCCUGUAGUUUAGUGUUAGUUUCUGAUUGCCUUGGUUAGGGUCACAGCUUCGAAGUGACCCAUGCCCUGCUGCUCAGAUGUGCCGCUGCGGUAGCUCCUGACAAGAAGAGGGCAGCUGGGAAGGGUUUUGUGCUGGUUGGAGAAACCCUGAUCCUAAAAGUACAGCUAGAGACCUUACUGAAGUAGCUUCUUGGGAAGCUUUGGGAAGCUUGUGCUCAAGGGCCCCAGAAGGUAGCCUGUGACCGGUCCUUGCCCAGACUGGAGGACUUGGCAGGAGGUGAGCCAUCUUCAUGGAAAAAUGAAGCUGCUGCCUCCUGCCCAGAUCUCUUCCUUAUGAAGCUGGUGGCCAUUGGGAAUAAUCCACAGAAAGGCCACAGUUUCGCCACCUUCAUUUUCUGUGGGAAUCAGUUCUACAACUAGGAACACGGGACAGACCCAAGGUUAAAGACAUUGCUAAGUCAUGGCUAAGUCCUUUUCCUUUCCUUGCCCCUGCCACAGUGGAUGCUGGUCUGUGUCAUCUGCGACUCCAGCAAAAUUAGGCAUUUUCAUACAAAACCGGAGAAGAACAGUCUGCCUGGACAAGGUUUUCCAGUGAGCAGCUCUUUUCUGCUUCCAGUACUGGCCCCAAGCUAUUCUGGGACUCUUUUCCAGCUACAGCCUGGGUAAAGACAUGCUUUACAGCAUGGGUUAACUGUCUCUACAGGAACUAUUACUGGAAAAUACAACUAUAAAUCUCCAUGCAAGUGUUGAGGCCAUGUCACACAGUAUUUUGGCAGUCACCAAGGAGAUCCAGAUGCUCUCACUUCUCUCUGCUCCCUAAGCUCUUUUGGGUUAUGCAAGUCUUUCUUUCUCCUUUUACACUCUUUGCCAUCCUUUUUCUUUCUUCAGGCUGGCUCCUGGAAAGACCUUCCAUUUUCUUACGGACUCACUGGCUCUGCUUUCCCGACUCAAAUCCCUCUGCAAGACCUUGCAGAAAUGACAUUUUGUAAAAAUCCCCAUUUUGAGGCCACAUUUUUUCCCUGCCCAUUGAUGUCCCCUCCGCUUGAAUUGCAGGGUUUAGUUUUGACUGUGAGGCAAAGAUGGCAGUUUCCCAACUAACCCCAAGUCAGGUCAGAAAAGAAGAAUGAAAACCAAAAAGGGGACCCGGAAUGUCAAAGCAGAAGACAAUCAAAUUUCCGUGUCAAAAAGAGGGCAAAACUAAAGAUGUGGGACAUGCCUGAAAAAAUCUUGUAGACAGUACUUUUCCUCUUCCUUUCUCUCACAGUGGGACAAAUUCCACUUUUAUUUCAGUUCAUCUGUAAAACAUGAGGAGCCAGCUGAGCAUCGCAUUGGUUCAGAAUGAGGGCAGCUGACAAGGGAAAGAGGUACUUGAUCCCGUUGUCCUCUGGUGCUUGGUUACAAGGACUGCAAACAAGGAGAAGGCAGCUCUGAGAGUCUGGGGGCAGAGUUAAUGGUCAGAACUUGGGUGCAGCUGGAAAAGCAGGACAUGAAAGAGCAGCUUGGAUAGAAAAAGGCUCAGAGCUACUGCUUUAGUUCACACUGUUUUCCUUGCCUGUGUGAGAUGUCGAACCUACUCAAGACUAUUUUGCUGCAUGGAAAACCCUGGACACUUGAUACCACAGAAAUGAGGAAAAAUUCUGGGCAGAGCUUCUUUGCUUCUCAACAAGUGCAACAAAAUGUUUCCCAUUUCUAAUAAACAAGGGUUAUUCUUCACUUUGGGUUACCACAUCCCUACUAGGCUGCCAACAAAACCAAAACACUCCAUCACCCAGCAGUGUGCAGUUGCUAAAUAUCCCCAUCACUGACACUGGCACCUUUUCCAGGCCAAAAGGGCAUCAGCCGUGGAGAGCUGUGCAGAUGCUGACUGCAGCACAGCGCCCUGUAAGCACUCAAUUAGCCCGGCCGCUUGUGCUCAACCUCUCAAGCACUCGGUGGAAGUAAAAUGCUUACACGAUCCCUCUGCCUACAAGGCCUUGAAAUCUUUAGGGGGCCUGGCUUUGCUGCCUGGUUUUCCAUUGACAGGCUGAUAGAGACAUCACAAAUCUCUCCAAAGGCCAGUCACUAGGCUUCUUUCAACAUCAAAGGUGUCAAUGUUCACUCUGCCUCGGAGCCUGGGGCAGUAUAAAUCACACAUGAAUAUGUGAACUGAGUGUUUGAGGUUAAACUCGCUCUGUAUAUACAAAUAUUUCUCCUUGAGUAACUGGUAUUAUUGUACUGUUUCCUCAUCAAUGUCAAAUAUUUUCUAUAAAUCAUAAUAUUCCAAUGGAAAACAAAGCUUUUUAUAGGUGAAAAGGGGGAAAAAAACGAUGAACCAGGGUGUUGUGGGAAAAGAAUAACUGAUUUUAAAUAUACAUUGCCAUUUUCUUGGAAGAAAAA